UAGUGUGCUCUGGAAACUNUCUGACUUGAGUGCAGAAGGGGAGAGUGGAAUUCCAUGUGUAGCGGUGAAAUGCGUAGAUAUAUGGAGGAACACCAGUGGCGAAAGCGGCUCUCUGGUCUGUCACUGACGCUGAGGCUCGAAAGCGUGGGUAGCGAACAGGAUUAGAUACCCUGGUAGUCCACGCCGUAAACGAUGAGUGCUAGGUGUUAGGCCCUUUCCGGGGCUUAGUGCCGGAGCUAACGCAAUAAGCACUCCGCCUGGGGAGUACGACCGCAAGGUUGAAACUCAAAGGAAUUGACGGGGGCCCGCACAAGCGGUGGAGCAUGUGGUUUAAUUCGAAGCAACGCGAAGAACCUUACCAGGUCUUGACAUCCCGAUACUAUUCUUAGAGAUAGGAAGUUACUUCGGUACAUCGGAGACAGGUGGUGCAUGGUUGUCGUCAGCUCGUGUCGUGAGAUGUUGGGUUAAGUCCCGCAACGAGCGCAACCCUUAUUGUUAGUUGCCAUCAUUAAGUUGGGCACUCUAGCGAGACUGCCGGUAAUAAACCGGAGGAAGGUGGGGAUGACGUCAAAUCAUCAUGCUCCUUAUGACCUGGGCUACACACGUGCUACAAUGGUCGGUACAACGAGUUGCGAGCCGGUGACGGCAAGCUAAUCUCUGAAAGCCGAUCUCAGUUCGGAUUGGAGGCUGCAACUCGCCUCCAUGAAGUCGGAAUCGCUAGUAAUCGCGGAUCAGCACGCCGCGGUGAAUACGUUCCCGGGCCUUGUACACACCGCCCGUCACACCACGAGAGUUUGUAACACCCGAAGUCGGUGAGGUANCCUUUUAGGG
RNAcentral lists this ribosomal RNA (831 nucleotides) under uncultured bacterium. Its description in RNAcentral is "bacterial SSU rRNA". It matches the Rfam family "Bacterial small subunit ribosomal RNA", at positions 617 to 1447 of the family's 1533-position model. The record is from RNAcentral.